This 486-nucleotide ribosomal RNA is filed under the name uncultured bacterium. RNAcentral describes it as "partial 16S ribosomal RNA". It matches the Rfam family "Bacterial small subunit ribosomal RNA", at positions 30 to 507 of the family's 1533-position model. The record is from RNAcentral.
AUUGAACGCUGGCGGCAUGCCUUACACAUGCAAGUCGAACGGCAGCACGGGUGCUUGCCCCUGGUGGCGAGUGGCGAACGGGUGAGUAAUACAUCGGAACAUGUCCUGUAGUGGGGGAUAGCCCGGCGAAAGCCGGAUUAAUACCGCAUACGAUCUACGGAUGAAAGCGGGGGACCUUCGGGCCUCGCGCUAUAGGGUUGGCCGAUGGCUGAUUAGCUAGUUGGUGGGGUAAAGGCCUACCAAAGCGACGAUCAGUAGCUGGUCUGAGAGGACGACCAGCCACACUGGGACUGAGACACGGCCCAGACUCCUACGGGAGGCAGCAGUGGGGAAUUUUGGACAAUGGGCGAAAGCCUGAUCCAGCAAUGCCGCGUGUGUGAAGAAGGCCUUCGGGUUGUAAAGCACUUUUGUCCGGAAAGAAAUCCUUGGCUCUAAUACAGUCGGGGGAUGACGGUACCGGAAGAAUAAGCACCGGCUAACUACGUG